Long non-coding RNA from Pezoporus occidentalis (night parrot), 4161 nucleotides. RefSeq lists it as uncharacterized. NCBI's taxonomy places the organism in Eukaryota, Metazoa, Chordata, Aves, Psittaciformes, Psittacidae. The transcript is spliced from 3 exons. The record is from RefSeq and is a predicted model, not a curated record.
ACACCAGAAAACUGGGAAGAAACAACAAGAGUUGAUUUUCAAAGGCAGGAGAAAUAUUGCACCAACAGAAUGAAACCUACUCUUUAAAAAUGGUAUUUUUGUAUCAUGUGUCUUACAUUUUAACUCAUUUGCCUUCCCAACUCAUUCCCAAACUGCUUACAUUCCAGCAACAAAUCCAGGCUGAUCCUGUCUCUAUUGCAAUCAACUGGCUCCACACUUCAAAUCUUGUGUAAAAGUAACUAUUUCUGGACAGUUUUUCUUAAAGUACAGCCAAACUUUGUCAAGCAACGACAACAAAAUGAGGUAGAAAAAAAUGUGAAUAGAUAACGAUUUAGAAGUUAUCCCAUGAAUACUUCAGGGAUAGCUUGCUGCUAACGCUACAAUGCUAUCCUUGAGGAAAGCUGAGACCCGCAUAUGAACAGCUGGUUUGAGCUCGACUCUGUGGGCAGAUUUCCUCGCUACAUGUUACCUUUACUAAUUUCUUAAUUAGGUGGCUUCUCUGCACCACUGUGACUUCAUCACUUUUGAGAGGACUGCCUGGUUGAGCUUAUGGCACUUGACCUACUUUUCAGUGUUUUCUUUAUGGAUAACACAAAACUUUCCAGAGUAUCUGCAUUAUGAAUAUCUAUUUCAAUCAUGCUUCAUAUGUAAAUUUAAAAGAUUUUAAAUGGAAUCCAAUAUUGUAAAACAUGUCCCAACAUCCCUUUCUGAGACCUCAUUUGCAUAUCAAUCUCGUUACUUGAAUAGUCUUAAUAGUGCCACUUGUUGGAGAGCUCUGUGUAUUGCAAGGUAUUUCAGUCACGUAUUUAUAAAAACGAAUUGGUUUUUCCUGGGGAUAGGUAAUUCCCAAUUUAAAGUUCUAAGGGAAGAGAUGAAAGUACUAUACAGAACAACUUUUGUUGCCGUCUCAGCUUCAACCGCUCUGACUCGGAAGACUCUAUGAAUGAGUGACAUGUUAGCAGAUCUUAUGCAACUUGAUUUUUACAAUGGUAAUGGAGAAGUGAAAAAGGAAAAAUAAGAACAAAUCUUGCAGGCUUUAACUGAGGCAAUUGUAAUUUCCUUCUGAAGUACAUUUUACCCUGCAAAAUUUGGGUGAAAAAGAUCAACUUCCCUGGAUAAGCAGCCCCAGUCCUGUGCACAGACCUAUGUCAUUAUCAAUAAUUAUGCACAUAUUCUCCUGGGUUGUGAAGGUAGAAUUAAUGAAAUUGCAUCAUUUUCUUUGCAGUGAUUAAGAAAUUCACAGUUGAUUACUGAUUAUACCACAGGCACCGUAUGUCUUUUCGCAACCAGAUUCUAACACACCCCAGGUACCUUGCGUUUCCAGGAGCACUGACAGUAUGAACAGCACACCCUGAGUCAGUGGCUGUGACGGCUGCGAAGAAGACACUGUCAUGGUGUGUGGUAUCAAAGAUCCACAGUAUAAUGUCUCCACAGCAUGGCUUGACAUCACAUCAAAAGCUCCACAAAGGAACAUUUGCCACGCACAGAGCAUCAGAUCUCCAGCAUGGUAUUUUGAGGAGCUGAUGAGAUGUAAUAUAUGAAAUAUAUAGAAAUAUUAACAAAGUGUUGUUGCAAGGACUAAAAUUAUAGUGUCGGGGCAAGGCAGGAAAAAAUGGCAGUCACUGACCUUUAAAAAAAUAGAUGCAGAUAACAGAAAGGGAAUCUAAAGAGCUGUUGACUUUCUAUGUCAAGAAGUCAAGGGUCAGGAAUCAUUACGGUUUAUGUCUUAUGUCCAAAACAUGCUUUGUGGUCACUAAGUCAAAAAGUAGGGUCUACCCGGUGUUCAUCUUCUUCAAAGAAAAAGAGAAGUAAACUGCGCAGAUCACCUGCUUGCUGAGAUUGCCAGACUUCAGUUUGACAUAAUAAUACGGGAAAAGUACUUGCAACACCUGUGCUAGGCAGAUAGGAUGAAUGACCUCAAGGUUACUCUUUUUAUUGGUUCUAAAGAAGGUCAGAAUUUUUCAGCCCUAAAGCGAACACAAUCCUAUCAUCCUUCUGGUCUCUUGGAGUUCAGUGUCUUGAAAGGCAGUCCAAAUAUAGCCCACAGGGAGUCCUGGAGAUGGCCAGCAAGGACAAGGCUUUGUCCUUGCCCAUUUUGUCUCUAAAUCAGUGCCACCUUCUGAGAUCAUCAUCUCGAUUACUGCUUUCAUUUUUAUUUUAUUUUUUUUACUUAGUAUAUUUAUUAUUUACUAUUUCUGAAUAACAUUUUAGAAUUUGUAUUUGGAAUUGUAUUUUAAAAUACAAUGAAAAACUAUAUUAUGCUUUUAGUGUUUUAAAGGUCAAAUCUUGCAAAUUCCAUGAUUCUGCAGGUCAGGAUGAUCCCAGAGCCUGCUUGCAAAAGCAAGGACAUUCAUAAUGAUGUAUUUAAACCUCAUUUUAUAUUCCCCUAUCACUAAGAAUCAGGCAAAUCAACUCCAAAAGUUGUUUGAGGGCAACUGUGGACAAAGCUCAACCUUGUUUUAGCUUAGCUUGCUCAAAAGCCUUGUAAUCUUUUUUUUUUUCCCCAACAACCCUCUGUCUUUCCAGCUAUCCAGAAAAGUGAAAAUAUCUGCAGCAAAAUGUGGAAGUGUGGACAAAGCAUCUGUGUUGGCAACAUGGUCCUUUUGCAAACCAAGGGAUGCACAAGAAGGGCUGGACUGUGGAGCCACAGCAGAGGACAUCUUGCUGUUGAUGGAAGGAAGUCACAAGGAGUUUCUUCAGAACUGGCAGUGGUAGUCGGAUAUCUGACUGGAUGCCUGGCUUCUUCUGUGCCUCUGGCAACAUCUCCCUUACUUCAUGUAGCUGAAACUUGACUGGAGCAUAAGAAGGCUCAUGGAGGUUGAGGAUGUUGCCCGGCUGAACAGAAGCCAGAGAAGGACAGUCAGGAGAGCAGCUACAGCAAGUAAUUGUGACCCCUGAUUACUGGAGUGAUUUAAAACUGCUCUUUGCUGUGUUAACUUGAAGUUGUGAACUACAAAGGUCUGCUGUGAAUAGCAUAUGAAUAGAAAAGGGACUCUGUUGGAACUCGCUAUUAUGUUUGAAGUUGGUAGAAACUAGAGGUUGAAAAGACCCACUAGUUCACUGAAUUGAUUCAUUGCACAUGCGAGACAGAAACUCCUUGCGCAGAGAUGUCCUCCCUGUGUUUCUCAGGGAAAAGAAAACAUUGAGAUGUUUCUGGAGAAAAUGCUUUGACACAAUACAAUCCAUUAGGAUGUCUACAUUUUGACCUGGUUUGCCAUCUAAUUUUUGCAUCAAAUUUGCAGUGGCAGUUGCAGAAUGGCUAAAAAAUUAAAGCUUCAUGUAGAACAAAGGUGAUUUAUUAUGUGUUUCCCUUUUUUACAGUGAAAGGAAAUGCUAUUCUGUAGCUGUUGCAAUUCUCUUUUUCUCAGAAGAAUUGUCAGUUUAGUCUAAAUGCAAAUGUUGUGAACACAUAGGUAAGACACAAGGUUUAUAAUAUUUUUUUUAUUAUUUUUAAGUAUAAGCCCAACAAAACAUUUUUAAACAACUGGCAUCCUGCGAUGUCUGAAAUUCAGUAACAAUACGAGUAAAAGCUUGAAAGCAGCUGGUAAAGAAACAAAAUUGGUAAUAUUUGGUUCUUAUUUCAAGCAAAAGGAAAAAAUAAGCAAAUGCUGUAAAGACUGACAAGCAAAUUCCAUUAGAAGAAGUGUCAGUCAUCUAAUAAUUGAAGUUAAUUCAAUUUAUUUAAUUUAACUAGACGUGUAGGCCAAGAAACCUUUUUCGUUUGCUUUCUUUUUUUUUUUUUUUUAAUGGACUUUCAUGGGAAGUUGAUAGAGUUCCUCAAAGGAAUAGACUUGCUAGCUGCAAUUUACGUGUGGCACAGCCUACUUUUGUCUUUAGCUUAUGAAAUUUGGUCUAGUUUGUCAUGACUACUUUCUUUGUUAAAAGGUAAAAUGCACAUUGGGCAAAUGUUCUAUGGCAAUUUGCAUAAAAAGUGAUGACAAAGAGCAAUUAAUUCCUCAUUAUUAUGCAGUGAAAUGCUACUUUGCUCCUAAGUGACUGUAGAGGAGGGGUUUUUCUCUGUGUGUAAAUCUGUUGUGGCAUUGUUCUAAAAAUAGUACUUAAGAGCCCUCUGCACUCUUUGUAAAUCAGGGUCUUUGACACUCCAUUGGAUUCUCCACAGAGAGAUUGUUCUCACACAUGCUGAACACUAAGAAUAUCGCC